RNAcentral lists this small RNA (173 nucleotides) under Arabidopsis thaliana (thale cress). RNAcentral describes it as "ATSL172350". Lineage: Eukaryota; Viridiplantae; Streptophyta; Magnoliopsida; Brassicales; Brassicaceae. The record is from RNAcentral.
UUUUUUUUUCUCAACUUCUGAUGAUAAUUUAAGUUCUUGAAAAAAAAACUUUGACCAUCAAAAAUAUGAUAUCUUCUUAAGAUACAUUAAACUAGUCAUUCAUGAAAAUUUCUAUAAGUGAUUAUACCUUUAAAUUAAGUUAUUUAUCAAUCAAUUUAUUUUAUAAAAUAAUC